Molecule: ribosomal RNA, 253 nt
Filed under: uncultured bacterium
Lineage: Bacteria
Description: partial 16S ribosomal RNA
Rfam family: Bacterial small subunit ribosomal RNA
Source: RNAcentral
UACGUACCGUCCAAACGUUAUUCGGAAUUACUGGGCUUAAAGGGUAUGUAGGCGGCGCUGUUAGUCGGGUGUGAAAUCCCACGGCUCAACCGUGGAAUUGCGCCCGAUACUGCAGUGCUUGAGGGAGACAGAGGUAAGCGGAACUGAUGGUGGAGCGGUGAAAUGCGUUGAUAUCGUCAGGAACACCGGUGGCGAAAGCGGCUUACUGGGUCUCUUCUGACGCUGAGAUACGAAAGCUAGGGGAGCGAAGGGG